Molecule: ribosomal RNA, 497 nt
Filed under: uncultured bacterium
Lineage: Bacteria
Description: partial 16S ribosomal RNA
Rfam family: Bacterial small subunit ribosomal RNA
Source: RNAcentral
GAUGAACGCUGGCGGCGUGCCUAAUACAUGCCAGUCGAGCGAACGGACGAGAAUCUUGCUGCGCUGAUGUUAGCGGCGGACGGGUGAGAAACGCGUGUAUAACCUACCUAUAAGACGGGGAUAACUUCGGGAAACCGGAGCUAAUACCGUAGGAGAUUUUGAACCGCAGGGUGCAAAAGUGAAAGACGGUCUUGCUGGCACGUAUAGAUGGAUCUGCGCUGCAUUAGCUAGUUGUUAAGGUAACGGGUUACCAAGGCAACGAUGCAUAGCCGACCUGUUAGGGUGAUCGGCCACCCUGGAACUGAGCCACGGUCCUGACUCCUACGGGACGCCGCAGUAGGGAAUCUUCCGCAAUGGGCGAAAGCCUGACGGAGCGGCGCCGCGUGAGUGAUGACGGUCUUCCGUUCGUAAAAAUCUGUUAUUGGGGAAGAACAUCUGUGUCAGUAAAUGUGCCCAUCUUGACGGUACCUAGUAAGAAAGCCCCGGCUAACUACGUG